CUGGACCAUUGCUAUGAAAGCUAUGCCAAUCCACUGAUGUGUAACAAAUGAACUAGUCAUUAUUGUUAUUAAUAUAAUUAUAAAAUUUAUUAUCAAUCUGUAAAUAUUUUCUUAAAUAAGGGAAUUUUAUGCCAUAUAAUACAACGGUCUGCAGAAAACAACAGGAAACUAAAGGACAACCAACAGUCUACAAAACACAACAGGAAACUAAACUAAACGACAAGCAGUAGUCUACAAAUAAAAAAAAGGAAACUGAAGGACAUUCAACAGUCUAUACAAACUAAAACCAAAACAGGAAACUAAAGGACAAGCAUAAGUCAACAAAACACAACAGGAAACUGAAGGCCAACCAACUGUCUACAAACCAAAACAGGAAACUACAGGCCAAGCAACUGUCUACAAAACACAAAAAGAAAUUAAAAGACAAGCAGCAGUCUACAAAACAUAACAGAAAACUAACGGACAAGCAACUGUAUACAAAACACAACAGGAAACUAAAGGACAAGCAACAGUCUACAAAACACAACGGGAAAUUAAAGGAAAAACAAAAAUCUACCAACACAACAGGGAACUAAAGGACAAGCAACUGUCUUCAAAAGCCAAUAGACAAGUUCCUAUAGUAAGAGGUUUACACCACACAUAUAGAGUUGUCAGCCAAUAGACAAGUUCCUAGUAAGAGCUCUGCAUGGCACCUUAGAGUAAUCAGGCAAUAGACAAGUUCCUAGUAUGAACUCUGCACCACACGCAUAGAGUUGUUAGCUAAUAGACAAGUUAAUAGAUAUUAAAAGGGAAACACAAG
RNAcentral lists this long non-coding RNA (799 nucleotides) under Mytilus galloprovincialis (Mediterranean mussel). Lineage: Eukaryota; Metazoa; Mollusca; Bivalvia; Mytilida; Mytilidae. The record is from RNAcentral.